CAAGACUGCAAAGUCAGAUGAGUGCCUACCCAUCCCGAAAGAGACUAUAAAAAAGAAGUGCCAGGGCCUCUCUUGACCUAACUCCACAUCUGCCGCUCCAUCGAAAGCAAGAAUGAAGUAUGCUGUGGUCUUUGCUGUAAUGUUGCUUGUGGCAAUCACAGCUGAACCCGGGGAAUGCGGCUUAAGAAAAUAUCUUUCUGGUGUCAAACUCAAAAUAAAAAAUACUAUUUGUCAACGUACCUUGACCAAGAUGAACAAAAGCUGUGCAAUUUUCCUUCAAGAAAACGGCUAUCAAGAAUGCUUGAAUAGCCCCAAGACUGCGGACCAGACUGCCGAGUCCCCUGAGGAGGAUCCAGUGCUUAUGGUCUAGUGGCUGAUUAACCGGCCUCCGUUGUUGGUGACCGGGAGGGACAGGGAUUCACAUGUACUCCGUUUUCACGCCUGCUUAACCUCUUCCAUAUUAUUAAUUGGUAUUGUUAAAUAUCUUUUUUACAGUAGGCCUACUGUAUAUGAAAACUCAGAUUUUUUUUUGAAUAAAUGUUACAGCAACUGGUACAGCAGAGAAAAGUCAAAUGGCAUUCUAGUGUAUUUUUUCCGUCCCAAUAAAAAAAUAUAUUGUUGCAUUACAAAUAUAGUUGAUCGUAUGUGGCUUAGCUCAGGAGGUAGAGCAGUUGUCAUGUAAGCCAAAGGUUGCUAGUUCGAUUCCCAGCUCCUCCUAGCUCCGAGUGUUGAUGUGUCCCUGAGCAGGACAAUUAACCCUAACCGCUCCUGAUGAGCUGGCUGUCGCCUUGCAUGGUUGACGCUGCCGACGUUGUGUCAAUGUGUGUAUUAACUGAUGUAAGUCGCUUUUUAUAUAAAUGCGUCUGCUAAAUGCCCUAAUUGUAAUUGUAA
Molecule: long non-coding RNA, 891 nt
Organism: Gadus chalcogrammus (walleye pollock)
Lineage: Eukaryota; Metazoa; Chordata; Actinopteri; Gadiformes; Gadidae
Exons: 4
Source: RefSeq, a predicted model, not a curated record